This 73-nucleotide transfer RNA is filed under the name Streptomyces fulvorobeus. It matches the Rfam family "tRNA". Rfam says of the family: Transfer RNA (tRNA) molecules are approximately 80 nucleotides in length. Their secondary structure includes four short double-helical elements and three loops (D, anti-codon, and T loops). Lineage: Bacteria; Bacillati; Actinomycetota; Actinomycetes; Kitasatosporales; Streptomycetaceae. The record is from Rfam by way of RNAcentral.
GCCCCUGUAGCUCAGUCGGUAGAGCGCCUCUUUCGUAAUGAGGAUGUCGCGGGUUCGACUCCUGCCAGGGGCU